UACGGAGGGUGCAAGCGUUAAUCGGAAUUACUGGGCGUAAAGCGUGCGUAGGCGGUUCGUUAAGUCUGUUGUGAAAGCCCCGGGCUCAACCUGGGAAUGGCAAUGGAUACUGGCGAGCUAGAGUGUGUCAGAGGAUGGUGGAAUUCCCGGUGUAGCGGUGAAAUGCGUAGAGAUGGGAGGAACAUCAGUGGCGAAGGCGGCCAUCUGGGACAACACUGACGCUGAGACACGAAGCCAGGGAGCGAACGG
Molecule: ribosomal RNA, 249 nt
Filed under: uncultured bacterium
Lineage: Bacteria
Description: partial 16S ribosomal RNA
Rfam family: Bacterial small subunit ribosomal RNA
Source: RNAcentral